AAGCCGUAACAAGGUUUCCGUAGGUGAACCUGCGGAAGGAUCAUUAACACGUAUCCAAACGUUAAAACUCCCCCCGUGAACCUUCAUCCUGCUCUUGUAACCCGCGUAGUUUGCAAUCUCUGAUAAAUCAUAGCCCGGAAACAAACUGUGGGGUUAUUAGGGGGCAUGGAGACCCUUUGGCAAAGCUCCUGCCCUAGUGUACGGUCUACAGGAAUCGUAGAAGCGCUAUCCUUGCACAAUCAAUGACACUUUCCGACACUGACUGCUUGGGGAAACAUUGCCUAUAGAACUACCGCUCGAUUGUAACUGUUCCAAUGUUCGCACGAGCUCAGUGUAGUACAUUGGGUAAAAAACCGAACAAAUGUUAACAAUGGAUAUCUUGGUUCUC
Molecule: unclassified non-coding RNA, 388 nt
Filed under: fungal sp.
Lineage: Eukaryota; Fungi
Description: partial internal transcribed spacer region
Rfam family: Eukaryotic small subunit ribosomal RNA (bases 1-46)
Source: RNAcentral